CCUUUGUCUUUCCAUUCGUAUACUUUUCUUAUGGACAAUGUAAAUGCUUUCCAUUUAUGGCUGCACGCGUCUUUUUUGGCCUUCAGCAUAUAAUCUUAAAAGGAGGCCACAUGAUUUAAAGUGUUUUAGUGUUCAAAUCGACUUGGCUAGCACCAGACUUCUCUCGUCAUGUCUGCAAAGAUUCCCAGUUUGAUUUUCUUAACAAAUUCUGUUUUAUUCGUUUGCAAAUUCACUGGAGUAUUCUGUUUGCCACAGGGCAACAGCUACUGUGCGUCUACGGAAGAAACAUUUUUUAAUGGAAAAUGUUUCCCGAUUGGCAAUACCGAACAAUGUCCAAAAAACAUGCAAUUAUUUGACGGACCUAACCAAGAUGGAUUUUGUGAUUGCGUAGACAUUGACGAUCGGCCAGCAUUUUAUUCAGAUGAAAUCGGUGAAUGUUAUUUUCACAACACUCAGGGUCCUUGCUUAGACAGUGAAUGGUUCGUUCUUAAAAACAAUGAACCCCAAUGUGAACCUGUUCCAGAAGGAUGUCCUGUUGAUGGGAAGCACUUUUUCGGAAGCCUAGAUGAAGCAGCGGUCAAAGAGUGUUGGGAAUUACGGACACAAGGACCUUGCCCAACUCGUGAAAUUUUGCUUAUUGAAGAUGGUAUUGGAGAAUUGACGAUGAAAUGCAAGUCUUUCUGUCCCAACUGUGAGGCCGGUUUUUUAACCUCUAUUGGAUUUCAAUCUUCCUGUCGGCCGGGUACUCUACGUAAUCGUUUCGGUCAUUGUAGUGGUAGUUUGAUUGGAUAAAUAUUGGGAUGGACCUAAUCCAGAGUUAUUCCGCCUCUUUCGGUUUCUUUUCCCAAAAGAGCCUCCACCAAUAGGGUCCUUGUACGAAUAAGGAAUGGGUGAAAAUCAAAAUAAUUCUAGUUAUAAUAAAGUUUUUUAGGCUGAUUCUCACACUAUAUUUCUAUUUUAUUUUUAAAAUUAUAAUUUCCCGACGUAGUUUCUCUUAAAAUUUUAGAUAAGCCCCUCCUGGAUUAAAACGGACCCCCGCCAUGUUUGGUGGGUGGUCCUUUAAGAGGGAUUAAUUUACAUUUCGUGUUCCUAUAACCAUAUUUUGCCCUUAGGGAUUAAAGGCGAAAUACAAAAAAGCUCUUAUUCCUGCCUCUUUUCUUCACUCGAUUGCAAUUUAAAAAGGUCAAUCGAUUCCAUAUUUGUUUGUUUAUAAAGCUGACGAAUUAUUUUUUUUUAAUUCAAUGUAGUUUAAAGAAAAAACAAAAUUAUAUCAAUUUCAAAAUCUGUAUCUUGUUGUUUACAAAAUUUUGAUUUUGAUCAAAAUCCUCUUUUCCUUAAAUUUGAGAUUUAAUUCCUUUUGUAAAGGGCUCUUUUCAUACAUAUCGCCGUUUUUUUAGUCGCAUAGCAUUCUCCUACCUCAUAGUCGGUCAUUUUGGGAUUUGUGAUUCCCCCUUCAUUCACCCCCAUGAGUGAUUUCCCAUAUCAUGGGAUAUCCCAAAAUGGCUUAAAUGUUUUUUUUUGCGUGGAAUGUCCCUAUAACGAGUUUGAUUUUUCAUUAAUUCAAAAAAAGGAUGACCAAUACUUUCAAGAAUUGUUUGCAAUAUGUAUACCUGGCGUCAUCAGAAGUAAAGUGAGUUUGAAUUUACCACCAAAAAUAGUCGCGCGACAUUUUUUGUCAAUUUUUCUUUAAUUGCACAAUCCUCAUGGUUCCCUAAAGUUUCAGGCUUAACUUUUAUGCAUUAAGUUUCAACUUAAUGCUAUGUUAUUAAUAAAUCACAUCAAUAAUUUGGCUAUUUUUUGCCACAUGUGAAGUAAAUUAAUUUGAUAAGGAAGUAUGAGUAACUGAUGGGAGGGGGCAACGGCACUGACUCAUUAUGUAAACACGCUUUAGUCAUGCUUUCCAAGUAAAUUGAAAGGCGUCUUUAAUUAAACAUUAUAAACUUAAAAUAACAAUAAAAAUUAUGAAAACUUUCUGUCCUCGAAAAUUAAAAUAAAUUUUCUAUUUGAAUUUAAGUGUGCCGAAGACUAAUGGUGCGUUUGUGUUAAAAAAUACGAUAAAACGCCCGUAUGUCACCCAUACAAAUUAAAAUAUACCCAAAGCUAGGCUCAUCGAUCAGAGCUCUCAUGGUCUAGAGCCAUUUCGAUGAUGGGAUUGUCUUGGACAUCAGAAGAGAUCUCGUAAAUCAAUCACCCGAAACCAAGCCCAUUUAAUUUUCCCCCAUUUGUAAUAAAGCAGUUUCUUUUGCUUUUAAAGAAAACUUAUAUAGGUAUAUUCAAAUAAAAACUUUUCUAACGAACAGAUAUCAUAAAAGCGGAUAGAAAUUCAUUUUUAAAUAUUUUUUCCUGGUGUUUAAUAGACUAAACUGAGGCUCACAUCAUCCACCGUCAAUUCACCCCAUAUCAUAGAGGCUAAUAUCCCAAAUUUUCUCAAAACUUUACAAAUUGAUACAAGGUAAACCAUUUGUUUUAAAAUUAAAAUAAAUAAAUAAUGGGAAUGGAGAAAGGCACAGAAAAAAUGAAAACAAAAGAUUAAAUCGGUUAAUUUUUUUGGGAGUCAUAUCUCAAAAAUAAAACGCGUCUCGACUCACCCAACUCUCUCCUAAACCAGUUUCGUUUUACAGUAACACUUUUGACUUCUUUUAACUGAUUGAAAGAUCUCCGAAAAAGUAAUUCGCAUAAAAAAAUACUCAAUGUGUGAAUCAUAAUAGAAGAAACUUUUUUUACGGUUUCAACAUGACCAAAGGUUUUGGUAGUAACUGCAAUGUAGCUAAAAACAUCUGAGGAACAGCCCCAAGAAAGACCUGCUGAGUUCCACCUUGAUAGAAGAGUUACAUGACGUUAGUAUUUUAGUGUUAAAAUCGACUUCCCGAGCACCAGAACUCUCGUCAUGAAGUCUACAACGAUUCCUAGUUCGACCUUCUUAACCACUGUUUUAUUCCUUUUGCUUUUCACCGAAGUACUGUGCUUGCCCCAGUACCACUGGACAAGUCAACCUUGUUACCCGGAAUCUGGUGAUUGCACCUCAGUGCCAGGGUCAGUCUAUUAUGCAGCAUCAUCAUCGAGUGGAAAAUGGUUUCCAUGCCCAACGGGUUUUACACGUGAUCAUGGCGGAAAAUGUAGACGAGGAGGAAGUAUCGGAUAAAAACAAUUGAAAAUACCGGGAAAAUUGGCCAAUAUUCACAUUUUAUAACACCUAGCUUAUAAAUUUAAAUUUUGAGUAGUUUCAUGAACUUAUGCUCAAAAUACAUACGUUUACAAUACACAAAAUUUGGCAGUUCCCUUUCAAA
This 3287-nucleotide unclassified non-coding RNA is filed under the name Daphnia pulex (common water flea). RNAcentral's name for it is "uncharacterized LOC124209816, transcript variant X2". The record is from RNAcentral. Lineage: Eukaryota; Metazoa; Arthropoda; Branchiopoda; Diplostraca; Daphniidae.